RNAcentral lists this long non-coding RNA (915 nucleotides) under Capsicum annuum. RNAcentral describes it as "long non-coding RNA (CANN_LNC010821)". The record is from RNAcentral. Lineage: Eukaryota; Viridiplantae; Streptophyta; Magnoliopsida; Solanales; Solanaceae.
GAAUUCUAGACACCUCAAUCAUCGCACCCUAUCAUCCAUAAAAUCAACAACAAUAUCAUCAUCAACAUCAUCAUCAACAACAGCAAAAACCCAUAUCACGGAUUUCGACGCGGAAAAAGAAGAAGAAGAAGAAGUAGCAACAAAAGGGUCAAAAUCUUAUGCCCUUCAUUCCUUUAUGUAUGUUAUAUAUAUGUAUGUAUGUAUGUGUCUGUAUACAUACUGCAAAAUCGUUUCAAUUUUCAUCAAAAGUUUCAAUGCAACAGCUUUACCAAACGACCCUUAAGAAAAAUGGUGGUUUAUUGUUUCACCCUUUUUUUAGCUGGAAAAUGGAAAUCAACGGCGAAACAGAGAGAGGGCAACCACCAUUAAAAGACUCCCCAAUAUCUCUCUGUUUGCCUCAUUUCAAGGAUUCAUAUAUAUAUAUAUAUAUAUAGAGAGAGAGAGAGAGAGAGAGAUGUAUGUGUAAGUGUAUGUGUAUACAUACUGCAGUUAACUUCCCGAUUAUAAGGCUCAGAUCAGUAUAAUCAGAGCAAAGGAGACAAUGCAUCCGCCAUGGCUGCAUACCUCGGUUGCACUACAAACAGUACCUUCCAGGUCGCCCCGCCAAGAUACGAACCCAGCUCCCUUGCCCCAUGAACUCUAGACAGCUUAAUCAUCACAGCCUCUCAUCCAUAACACCAAACACAUCAACACCACCAAUAAUAAUAACAACAACUACAAUUUCAAUGCCAGCAAAACUCUUUCGAAGGAUGAUGAUGACAAUGAAGAAACAGCAAAAGGUUUAGGGUUUGGCCUCAGCUGCACUAAAGACCAGCUCAGACCUCAUCUGCCAAGGCUGCAGACCUCAGCUGCUCUACAAACAGUACCUUCCCGGUCCCCCCACCAAGAUACAGAGCCAGCUCCCCUUUGCCCCAU